UACGUAGGCAGCGAGCGUUGUUCGGAGUUACUGGGCGUAAAGAGUGCGUAGGCGGUUUUCUAAGUUUGGUGUGAAAUCUCCCGGCUUAACUGGGAGGGUGCGCCGAAAACUGGAAGGCUUGAGUAUGGGAGAGGUAAGCGGAAUUCCUGGUGUAGCGGUGAAAUGCGUAGAUAUCAGGAGGAACACCUGUGGCGAAGGCAGGUCUCUGGGCCAUUACUGACACUGAGAAGCGAAAGCAUGGGGAGCGAACAGG
RNAcentral lists this ribosomal RNA (253 nucleotides) under uncultured bacterium. RNAcentral describes it as "partial 16S ribosomal RNA". It matches the Rfam family "Bacterial small subunit ribosomal RNA", at positions 524 to 776 of the family's 1533-position model. The record is from RNAcentral.